Molecule: non-coding RNA, 116 nt
Filed under: Pan paniscus (pygmy chimpanzee)
Lineage: Eukaryota; Metazoa; Chordata; Mammalia; Primates; Hominidae
Also listed under: 1 other name
Source: Rfam by way of RNAcentral
GCCAGGCACGGUGGCUCAUGCCUGUAAUCCCAGCAUUUGGGAGGCCAAGGCAGGAGGAUCACUUGAGCCCAGGAGUUAGAGACCAACCUGGGCAACAUGGUGAGAUCCUGUUUUUA